GACGAACGCUGGCGGCGUGCUUAACACAUGCAAGUCGAACGGAAAGGCCCUGCUUUUGUGGGGUGCUCGAGUGGCGAACGGGUGAGUAACACGUGAGUAACCUGCCCUUGACUUUGGGAUAACUUCAGGAAACUGGGGCUAAUACCGGAUAGGAGCUCCUGCUGCAUGGUGGGGGUUGGAAAGUUUCGGCGGUUGGGGAUGGACUCGCGGCUUAUCAGCUUGUUGGUGGGGUAGUGGCUUACCAAGGCUUUGACGGGUAGCCGGCCUGAGAGGGUGACCGGCCACAUUGGGACUGAGAUACGGCCCAGACUCCUACGGGAGGCAGCAGUGGGGAAUAUUGCACAAUGGGCGGAAGCCUGAUGCAGCAACGCCGCGUGCGGGAUGACGGCCUUCGGGUUGUAAACCGCUGUCGCCUGUGACGAAGCGUGAGUGACGGUAAUGGGUAAAGAAGCACCGGCUGACUACGUG
RNAcentral lists this ribosomal RNA (468 nucleotides) under uncultured bacterium. Its description in RNAcentral is "partial 16S ribosomal RNA". It matches the Rfam family "Bacterial small subunit ribosomal RNA", at positions 28 to 507 of the family's 1533-position model. The record is from RNAcentral.